UCUUCAUUCUUCUCACUAUCUCAUCGGUCAGAAAGGCGAGAGAGCGUGUGAAAUGGAGAGA
RNAcentral lists this microRNA precursor (61 nucleotides) under Pristionchus pacificus. Its description in RNAcentral is "mir-8364 microRNA precursor family". It matches the Rfam family "mir-8364 microRNA precursor family". Lineage: Eukaryota; Metazoa; Nematoda; Chromadorea; Rhabditida; Neodiplogasteridae. The record is from Rfam by way of RNAcentral.